RNAcentral lists this ribosomal RNA (218 nucleotides) under Morganella morganii. RNAcentral describes it as "partial 16S ribosomal RNA". It matches the Rfam family "Bacterial small subunit ribosomal RNA", at positions 1319 to 1533 of the family's 1533-position model. Lineage: Bacteria; Pseudomonadati; Pseudomonadota; Gammaproteobacteria; Enterobacterales; Morganellaceae. The record is from RNAcentral.
CAUGAAGUCGGAAUCGCUAGUAAUCGUAGAUCAGAAUGCUACGGUGAAUACGUUCCCGGGCCUUGUACACACCGCCCGUCACACCAUGGGAGUGGGUUGCAAAAGAAGUAGGUAGCUUAACCUCCGGGAGGGCGCUUACCACUUUGUGAUUCAUGACUGGGGUGAAGUCGUAACAAGGUAACCGUAGGGGAACCUGCGGUUGGAUCACCUCCUUACCU